Molecule: non-coding RNA, 1813 nt
Organism: Aegilops tauschii subsp. strangulata
Lineage: Eukaryota; Viridiplantae; Streptophyta; Magnoliopsida; Poales; Poaceae
Source: RefSeq, a predicted model, not a curated record
GUUGUUCCGUCAGUUGCUGGAUAUGAGCCGUGGCACAGGACGUCUGCAAUCAAUUGAGCCGUGGCACAGGAUGGUGCAUCGGGACGUGCGGCGACAUGUAGUUUCUCCGACGACCGCAGAUGGAAUCGAACGGAUUGGAGUUCUUACUCGAUCCGGUAGAUAGGUUUACUCUGAGAUCUAAGGGAGGAGUUCGCCGACAGCUUGCAGCAGCCGGAUCCUGAGCUCCUGGCGCUGCUCCCACGGGGUGCAGCCGAAUCCUCGGCUGGAGGCUGGAGCUGAAUUUUGUGGCGCCACCGGGUGUGCGCUCAGUGCAGGACUUCAGACGGAAAGCGGAUAAGAAGUGCGGCGAAGGAAGAAUGCAUCGUUGACGCAGUCGGUUCAGUCCACGGGGAAGGUGAAGCCGGAAGGACCGGGCUGGACGAAGAGGUAACUUGGUUGCUGCUCGUAUCUCUGAACCACGGAUUCUGUAGAGUGUGUGCUGACUGCUGAGUAGAAUUGCACUCUGGUGCAACGUGUUCCAGCAAAGGAGUAUAUUGUCAUGCUUGGGGUGCAGCAAAAUAAAUAUACCAUAUUUCGUGGUUUGCUUACUCCUGAUUUAGGCUUGGUUUGUUAACUGUAGAAAUGGUUUCAGGCUUUGCCUUGGUAGUGCACCUCCAGACAGAAUUCCCUGAGCUUCCCGAAUGAACGCUCAUGAGCAAUCGAUCAGGAAAUAUGCAGAGGAACCAUCAGACUGUAAUUAGGCCGGAACUGGGAAUUAGUUCCAACUCGCUGUGUGAGACAUGUGACUUCUACAACAUGUAUUCUUCAGAGAUAGGGUUUGAUAUACGUUAUGGGAGGAGCAGACUAAACCCAGAGAUGACUAAAUCCAUGCAGGAGAUUGUUUGCGGGUGUUCGGCGAGUCUUGCGUACUUUGUUGCUAAAUUAUGUCACUAUUUGUAAGUGCAUCCUAGAGUAUGGAUCUAGUGGUGUUCCAAUUUGUUUAUGCAAGGGAAGCUAGAGGCACAGAACAGGCUGUCUUGCAGAUCAGACUGUUCCUCUGUUGUUCCAAUUUGUUCGUACUUUUGUUGCUGAAUUUGUUUAUACUGGACCAAUCUGUAGGACAUGCUGUCCGACCUUUUUUGUAGGAGUGAACAAUCAUUUUCAGAGCAUUAUAUUGGUUGGAUUUUUUAUGAGGGUUGAGCAAGUCGAGAGUCUUGAGUGGGUAUUUUCUGAGUUCCUAAAUACGAUGGGCAGGUUGGUGCCGAAGUCCAUCGUCACAGAUCAAAACAGAGUCAUGGAGGUAGCUAUCAGCAAAGUAUAUCCAGGGAAAUGAACAACUGUAGCUCACCUUACUGGGCUCAUUCAAGCGCAACAAGAAGAAAUGGUAGCAUUAGAAGGUUGCAGAGUGUCAAGAUGAGGAAACGAGCAGAAAGGGCCAAGCAAGAGAAGAUUUCAAGGCUAUUUUGUCAUCAAUCCUUUUUCCAACUAUGUUUGCAAUAUUCACAAGUAACUUCUCCUUCGACAAACACGAGAAUCAUUUCUUGAUCAUGUUGUUUACUUUGGGGGGACUGCUCAUUCUGCUUGCUAUGGCAUCGUGGCAUCGGAGUCGAGGAUGGACUAGGAAGGAUAGCUAUGGUGUCUCAGCUUACACUGGGGUGGUUAUCUAUGUGGAGAAAAUUCCUUAUUUGACACCACCUUAAAAUGUGGUUCCUUAUUUGACCCUGAAGAAACUUUUCUUCCCUAUUUGACAUGUAGUCUAAAUUUCUUUCCUUACGUGACAUCGCCGUCGGUUUCGUUACACUGUUCCGUCAAAAAAAAUUAGAUGGACCAAAAU